UACAGAGGGGGCAAGCGUUAUUCGGAAUUAUUGGGCGUAAAGGGCGCGUAGGCGGCUUUUCAAGUGACGGGUGAAAUCCCUCGGCUUAACCGAGGAACUGCCGUCCAAACUGCUUCGCUUGAGACCGGGAGAGGUGAGUGGAAUUCCCAGUGUAGCGGUGAAAUGCGUAGAUAUUGGGAGGAACACCAGUGGCGAAGGCGGCUCACUGGACCGGUACUGACGCUGAUGCGCGAAAGCGUGGGGAGCAAACGGG
This 253-nucleotide ribosomal RNA is filed under the name uncultured bacterium. Its description in RNAcentral is "partial 16S ribosomal RNA". It matches the Rfam family "Bacterial small subunit ribosomal RNA", at positions 524 to 776 of the family's 1533-position model. The record is from RNAcentral.